AAUCUUCCACAAUGGACGAAAGUCUGAUGGAGCAACGCCGCGUGAGCGCAGAAGGUUUUCGGAUCGUAAAGCUCUGCUGCGAGGGAAGAACAAGUACGGGAGUAACUGCCCGUACCCUGACGGUACCUCGUCAGAAAGCCGCGGCUAACUAAGUUCCAGCAGCCGCGGGAAUACGUAGGUGGCAAGCGUUGUCCGGAAUUAUUGGGGGUAAAGCGCGCGCAGGCGGUCCUUUAAGUCUGAUGUUAAAGCCCACGGCUCAACCGUGGAGGGUCAUUGGAAGCUGGAGGACUUGAGUACAGAAGAGGAAAGCGGAAUUCCACGUGUAGCGGUGAAAUGCGUAGAGAUGUGGAGGAACACCAGUGGCGAAGGCGGCUUUCUGGUCUGUAACUGACGCUGAGGCGCGAAAGCGUGGGGAGCAAACA
This 422-nucleotide ribosomal RNA is filed under the name uncultured bacterium. RNAcentral describes it as "partial 16S ribosomal RNA". It matches the Rfam family "Bacterial small subunit ribosomal RNA", at positions 360 to 774 of the family's 1533-position model. The record is from RNAcentral.